This is a long non-coding RNA of Oncorhynchus tshawytscha (Chinook salmon), 1887 nucleotides long. NCBI's taxonomy places the organism in Eukaryota, Metazoa, Chordata, Actinopteri, Salmoniformes, Salmonidae. The record is from Ensembl.
CUAGUAGGUGCCCUUACAGACACAUUACAGGAAGGGCUGUGGAUCUAGUAGGUGUCCUUACAGACACAUUACAGGAAGGGCUGUGGAUCUAGUAGGUGCCCUUACAGACACAUUACAGGAAGGGCUGUGGAUCUAGUAGGUGCCCUUACAGACACAUUACAGGAAGGGCUGUGGAUCUAGUAGGUGCCCUUACAGACACAUUACAGGAAGGGCUGUGGAUCUAGUAGGUGCCCUUACAGACACAUUACAGGAAGGGCUGUGGAUCUAGUAGAGGCCCUUACAGACACAUUACAGGAAGGGCUGUGGAUCUAGUAGAGGCCCUUACAGACACAUUACAGGAAGGGCUGUGGAUCUAGUAGGUGCCCUUACAGACACAUUACAGGAAGGGCUGUGGAUCUAGUAGGUGCCCUUACAGACACAUUACAGGAAGCGCUGUGGAUGUAGUAGGUGCCCUUACAGACACAUUACAGGAAGGGCUGUGGAUCUAGUAGGUGCCCUUACAGACACAUUACAGGAAGCGCUGUGGAUCUAGUAGGUGCCCUUAGACACAUUACAGGAAUGGCUGUGGAUCUAGUAGGUGCCUUUACAGACACAUUACAGGACUACAGAAGGUAGGGUUACUAUGGAGAACUUUGGAAAGAGGUUGAAGAGAUUGCAGAGCUCUGUGAAAUAAGUGUACAAACAGUAUGUUAAAGACAGUCUAAAACAAGCGUGUGAUUCCACAAAUCAUUGAUGAUGAGCACUGUAGGACAGAAAGAUAGUGACCAAAGUGAUGGUGAGAGCUUCCAAAGAGCUGUCUUUUAUCAGCUGCUCGACAGUCUCACAGCUGAGCUGCAGAGGAGUUUUUCAAAGAAGAAUUGCGAGAUAAUGCAAGGGGCCCAGUCUCUCAACCCAAAGAGGACAACAUCCUUCAAUGUGGAACCUCUGUUUGCCUUUGCUCAAACAUGAGGUUCAUCAAACCAAGCGGCUUCUUAAUAGGAGAGAGCAAAGUGGAAGGGACUACUCUCCUUGACUUGGUUGUGUUUCUAGAACCUUAUAAAGAGGUCUUCCAUGAGCUAUUUAGACUCUGUAAGAUUUCUGUUACACCAGUCAGCACUGCUGGAAGAGGGGGAGGGGGACGUCGGGAGUACGGAUGGUGUUCUCACCGGUAGAUAUGGAGCAGGGGAGCAUCGGGUGAGUCUCCUGUUUUUGUUUUUUUCUGUCUGGGUUUAGUAUUUGAGUUAAAUUUUUGAUGUUUUUCUUUUUUUCUUUCAUGGGGUCUAAUUUUACUUUUGUUAGUUUAAAUGUAAGGGUUAAGGGAUUUUGUUAAGAGGAGGGCGGUAUUUAGUUAUUUGGAGGGUGUGGGGUUUGAUUUUUGUUUUUUACAUGAGGUUCACCUGAGGGAUGGAGGGAUGUUAGUAGGUUUAAGAGGGAGUGGGACAAGGGGGAGUCGGUUUGGGGUAUUGGGGGGGUGCACUCAUCGGAGGUAGGGAUUUUGUGUGGGCACAGGGAGGUAAAAAGUGGAGGGUUGAUGUUGGUGUAUGGGCCACAGGUGGCGGCAGACAGGAGGGAGAUGGUGGACUGUCUGGCGCCCCUGUGCGUCACAAAUAGGAAAUUAGUGAUAGGGGUGGAUUUUAAUAUAGAUUUAGGAGUAGGGGGGAAUAGCAGUGCAGGUGCCAUCACCAGGCUAAUGGCUUGCCAUGGUCUGGUUGAUGGUGGCCUGCACACUACUCUGAAAAUGGCCGGUCCUACAUGGCGCAACUCCAGGGGGGUUUCGCGGAGGCUCGACUAUAUUUUUGUAUCCAGGUCUUUGGCUAAGUUGUCUGGGCGGCUGUUGCCUGUUUUCUUUUCAGAUCACAACGGGGUGCUCCUGCAGGUGGGGACGCCAGUCUGCCUCUUCGGUAGGGG